UACAGAGGGUGCGAGCGUUAAUCGGAAUUACUGGGCGUAAAGCGUGCGUAGACGGUUAUUUAAGUCGGGUGUGAAAUCCCCGGGCUUAACCUGGGAACUGCAUUUGUGACUGCAUAGCUAGAGUACGGUAGAGGGGGAUGGAAUUCCGCGUGUAGCAGUGAAAUGCGUAGAUAUGCGGAGGAACACCGAUGGCGAAGGCAAUCCCCUGGACCUGUACUGACGCUCAUGCACGAAAGCGUGGGGAGCAAACAGG
RNAcentral lists this ribosomal RNA (253 nucleotides) under uncultured bacterium. Its description in RNAcentral is "partial 16S ribosomal RNA". It matches the Rfam family "Bacterial small subunit ribosomal RNA", at positions 524 to 776 of the family's 1533-position model. The record is from RNAcentral.